AAAACGACUCUCGGCAACGGAUAUCUCGGCUCUCGCAUCGAUGAAGAACGUAGCGAAAUGCGAUACUUGGUGUGAAUUGCAGAAUCCCAUGAACCAUCGAGUCUUUGAACGCAAGUUGCGCCCCAAGCCGUUAGGCCGAGGGCACGCCUGCCUGGGUGUCAC
This 162-nucleotide ribosomal RNA is filed under the name Acer saccharinum. Its description in RNAcentral is "5.8S ribosomal RNA". It matches the Rfam family "5.8S ribosomal RNA". From Rfam's summary of the family: 5.8S ribosomal RNA (5.8S rRNA) is a component of the large subunit of the eukaryotic ribosome. It is transcribed by RNA polymerase I as part of the 45S precursor that also contains 18S and 28S rRNA. Lineage: Eukaryota; Viridiplantae; Streptophyta; Magnoliopsida; Sapindales; Sapindaceae. The record is from RNAcentral.